Oncorhynchus gorbuscha (pink salmon) is the source of this 194-nucleotide long non-coding RNA. RefSeq lists it as uncharacterized. NCBI's taxonomy places the organism in Eukaryota, Metazoa, Chordata, Actinopteri, Salmoniformes, Salmonidae. The transcript is spliced from 3 exons. The record is from RefSeq and is a predicted model, not a curated record.
GGGUAGGAUCCACCCGUGAUUAAAACGACUGGUAUGACGUGACGGCCAGUGUUAAUUUGUAUCAAAAUUACCAGGGGAAAGCAACACCUGGGUCCACAUAGUACAUACCCAACCAUGAGGAGGUGACAGCCAGAUAACUCUGCUGCUAGGUCUUGCUGCUUGGACAUAUGGCAAGGAUCACUUUCUCAUGCCUG